CCUACGGGAGGCAGCAGUGAGGAAUAUUGGUCAAUGGACGAGAGUCUGAACCAGCCAAGUAGCGUGAAGGAUGACUGCCCUAUGGGUUGUAAACUUCUUUUAUAUGGGAAUAAAACGUUCCACGUGUGGGAUUUUGUAUGUACCAUAUGAAUAAGGAUCGGCUAACUCCGUGCCAGCAGCCGCGGUAAUACGGAGGAUCCGAGCGUUAUCCGGAUUUAUUGGGUUUAAAGGGAGCGUAGGUGGAUUGUUAAGUCAGUUGUGAAAGUUUGCGGCUCAACCGUAAAAUUGCAGUUGAAACUGGCAGUCUUGAGUACAGUAGAGGUAGGCGGAAUUCGUGGUGUAGCGGUGAAAUGCUUAGAUAUCACGAAGAACUCCGAUUGCGAAGGCAGUUCACUGGACUGCAACUGACACUGAGGCUCGAAAGUGUGGGUAUCAAACAGGAUUAGAUACCCCUGUAUUC
RNAcentral lists this ribosomal RNA (460 nucleotides) under uncultured bacterium. Its description in RNAcentral is "partial 16S ribosomal RNA". It matches the Rfam family "Bacterial small subunit ribosomal RNA", at positions 338 to 795 of the family's 1533-position model. The record is from RNAcentral.